CGGCACCCUUUGUCCCCAGGAGCAGCCCCGCCCAGGUCCCUGUAAGCAGGGCUGGGGAGGCUCCUUUAGCCAGGCGACAGGAACGAGCGCUCCCGGGCCCUUGCCAGGGGGCAGCUUGCAGAAGGGCCGUGCCGCAGGGCACGGUCCCGCCUUUGGCACUGCCUCGGGCUGGCGCCACAUGCCUGGCGGCCUUGUAGAGGAGGCUGCCGAGGCUCUGCAGACGGCUGUGCUGCCGUGCUGCGCUGCGGCCGGGCUCCGGCCUGUCCCUAAGUGGGGUGCAGGCCGGAGCCUGUGCUCCGCAGUGCUUGUUGGGGGGUGCCGGGCAGCAGGGGGCGGCCCCGUAAGUGGGGUUCUGUGCGUCCCCUGGCCUCGGCGGGCGGUUGGAGGGACCCCCUGUAAUCAGGCGGGUGUCCCUGGCCCCAGUCUUUCAGAGGCAUGGGGCCAGGAGUCAUGGGGCCGGGCGUGUGCCCUCCCUGUCCUCGGGGCUGGGCUCGCGGCCCCUCGGGCCCCUCGGCUUUAGGCCGUGAGCUCGACUGCCUGACUGUAGAGUCAGGUUCCUGUUGCCUUGGGGGAAGGCCGAGCUCCGUGGCUCCCUGGGUGUGGACCGGCCUGUAAGCAGGCUGCGGGUCUGGGAGCCUUUGUGCUCCCUUCAGCUGGCAGCCUGUGUGCGGCGCCCGCCCCGUUAGUGGGGAGCGCCCCGGAACUGGAGAGAAGGAGCCUCCAUAGGCCUUGGGGACCAGAGCCGCCCUGUAAGUGGGGGCCAGUGCUCUGGAGUCCCGGGCACUUUGAAGUCCAGGCAGCGGCUUGAGCCCCCUGUAAGCAGGGGUGCAGCCUCUUGGCCGCUGCUUUGCGUGCCCAGCUUCAUUUGCCCAGAGGGCCCGGCUCCCAGCACGGCGUGGGACUGCGCCGGACGUCGCCAUGAACUGUGGGACGGCGAGGCAAGAGAGAGCUUGGAGCUGAAGAGGGACACCAGGGGCCCUCUGGGCAAAGGGCUUUUCCAGGCCAGGGCACCUUCAGGGUGCCGCGGCCGGCUUUGCGCUGGGCGACCUCCCUGUGCGCAGGGCUGGGUCUUUGCUGCGGUUGGCCUUUUGCCCUUGUGCUCCUUUGGCUGCCCGGAGAGAGGGGCAACCCUGUAAAGGAGGGUGAGUGCCCCUGUCUCCGCACCGGAGGGGGGAAACGGAGCUCUCCCGGCCCCCAGCCCAGCUACCCUGUAAGCAGGGCAGGGCUUUUCCCCAGCCCCGGCAGCUUUCUGCCUGCUGCCAGCCCCUGGCCAGUGUGACCCCCUGUACUCGGGGCGUGUCACAGCCCGUGUCCCCGUGCCAGGCCUGAAGCGCUUCAGCGCGUCGAGGCCCCUUGUGGCCUCCUCUCAGUGCACGGGCAGGUCUGAUGCUUUCCUCUCCCGCUCAGCAUUAGGAAUGGCUCCCUAGAGUAGGUUGGCUGCACAGAGCUUGCUCCCUCUUCUGGGACUGUCUCCCCCUCUCCUGUCUUCCCCUUAGCCGGUGUGAGUGAGGAAGUGUGUUUGUGCUUUCGCCCCCCUUCUUUAGAAACAGAGCAGUGUAGCUCAGACUUCCCAGGAGGGAAAGAGGAGCUCUGUGCAGCCACAGGCGGGUGCCCAAAAUGCACGGGUGGAGAAAGCGUCCGGCCUUGCCCCUGCUUUCUGAGGACGGCGCGAAGCCGCUUAGCGGCAGCGUGGGCACCACGACCCGCCUGUAGCCAGGGCCUGGGCGUGCGCCCACGCUGCCGGUGGUGCUGGUGAACUGCCAGCGUGCGGGCCCCGUACUCGGGGCACGUGUCAGGACCUUGGCGGCACCCUUUGUCCCCAGGAGCAGCCCCGCCCAGGUCCCUGUAAGCAGGGCUGGGGAGGCUCCUUUAGCCAGGCGACAGGAACGAGCGCUCCCGGGCCCUUGCCAGGGGGCAGCUUGCAGAAGGGCCGUGCCGCAGGGCACGGUCCCGCCUUUGGCACUGCCUCGGGCUGGCGCCACAUGCCUGGCGGCCUUGUAGAGGAGGCUGCCGAGGCUCUGCAGACGGCUGUGCUGCCGUGCUGCGCUGCGGCCGGGCUCCGGCCUGUCCCUAAGUGGGGUGCAGGCCGGAGCCUGUGCUCCGCAGUGCUUGUUGGGGGGUGCCGGGCAGCAGGGGGCGGCCCCGUAAGUGGGGUUCUGUGCGUCCCCUGGCCUCGGCGGGCGGUUGGAGGGACCCCCUGUAAUCAGGCGGGUGUCCCUGGCCCCGGUCUUUCAGAGGCAUGGGGCCAGGAGUCAUGGGGCCGGGCGUGUGCCCUCCCUGUCCUCGGGGCUGGGCUCGCGGCCCCUCGGGCCCCUCGGCUUUAGGCCGUGAGCUCGACUGCCUGACUGUAGAGUCAGGUUCCUGUUGCCUUGGGGGAAGGCCGAGCUCCGUGGCUCCCUGGGUGUGGACCGGCCUGUAAGCAGGCUGCGGGUCUGGGAGCCUUUGUGCUCCCUUCAGCUGGCAGCCUGUGUGCGGCGCCCGCCCCGUUAGUGGGGAGCGCCCCGGAACUGGAGAGAAGGAGCCUCCAUAGGCCUUGGGGACCAGAGCCGCCCUGUAAGUGGGGGCCAGUGCUCUGGAGUCCCGGGCACUUUGAAGUCCAGGCAGCAGCUUGAGCCCCCUGUAAGCAGGGGUGCAGCCUCUUGGCCGCUGCUUUGCGUGCCCAGCUUCAUUUGCCCAGAGGGCCCGGCUCCCAGCACGGCGUGGGACUGCGCCGGACGUCGCCAUGAACCGUGGGACGGCGAGGCAAGAGCAAACUUGGAGCUGAAGAGGGACACCAGGGGCCCUCUGGGCAAAGGGCUUUUCCAGGCCAGGGCACCUUCAGGGUGCCGCGGCCGGCUUUGCGCUGGGCGACCUCCCUGUGCGCAGGGCUGGGUCUUUGCUGCGGUUGGCCUUUUGCCCUUGUGCUCCUUUGGCUGCCCGGAGAGAGGGGCAACCCUGUAAAGGAGGGUGAGUGCCCCUGUCUCCGCACCGGAGGGGGGAAACGGAGCUCUCCCGGCCCCCAGCCCAGCUACCCUGUAAGCAGGGCAGGGCUUUUCCCCAGCCCCGGCAGCUUUCUGCCUGCUGCCAGCCCCUGGCCAGUGUGACCCCCUGUACUCGGGGCGUGUCACAGCCCGUGUCCCCGUGCCAGGCCUGAAGCACUUCAGCGCGUCGAGGCCCCUUGUGGCCUCCUCUCAGUGCACGGGCAGGUCUGAUGCUUUCCUCUCCCGCUCAGCAUUAGGAAUGGCUCCCUAGAGUAGGUUGGCUGCACAGAGCUUGCUCCCUCUUCUGGGACUGUCUGUCUCCCCCUCCCCUGUCUGUCUCCCCCUCCCCUGUCUUCCCCUUAGCUGGGUGUGAGUGAGGAAGUGUGUUUGUGCUUUAGCCCCCCGCUUUAGAAACAGAGCAGUGUAGCUCAGACUUCCCAGGAGGGAAAGAGGAGCUCUGUGCAGCCACAGGCGGGUGCCCAAAAUGCACGGGUGGAGAAAGCGUCCGGCCUUGCCCCUGCUUUCUGAGGACGGCGCGAAGCCGCUUAGCGGCAGCGUGGGCACCACGACCCGCCUGUAGCCAGGGCCUGGGCGUGCGCCCACGCUGCCGGUGAUGCUGGUGAACUGCCAGCGUGCGGGCCCCGUACUCGGGGCACGUGUCAGGACCUUGGCGGCACCCUUUGUCCUCAGGAGCAGCCCCGCCCAGGUCCCUGUAAGCAGGGCUGGGGAGGCUCCUUUAGCCAGGCGACAGGAACGAGCGCUCCCGGGCCCUUGCCAGGGGGCAGCUUGCAGAAGGGCCGUGCCGCAGGGCACGGUCCCGCCUUUGGCACUGCCUCGGGCUGGCGCCACAUGCCUGGCGGCCUUGUAGAGGAGGCUGCCGAGGCUCUGCAGACGGCUGUGCUGCCGUGCUGCGCUGCGGCCGGGCUCCGGCCUGUCCCUAAGUGGGGUGCAGGCCGGAGCCUGUGCUCCGCAGUGCUUGUUGGGGGGUGCCGGGCAGCAGGGGGCGGCCCCGUAAGUGGGGUUCUGUGCGUCCCCUGGCCUCGGCGGGCGGUUGGAGGGACCCCCUGUAAUCAGGCGGGUGUCCCUGGCCCCGGUCUUUCAGAGGCAUGGGGCCAGGAGUCAUGGGGCCGGGCGUGUGCCCUCCCUGUCCUCGGGGCUGGGCUCGCGGCCCCUCGGGCCCCUCGGCUUUAGGCCGUGAGCUCGACUGCCUGACUGUAGAGUCAGGUUCCUGUUGCCUUGGGGGAAGGCCGAGCUCCGUGGCUCCCUGGGUGUGGACCGGCCUGUAAGCAGGCUGCGGGUCUGGGAGCCUUUGUGCUCCCUUCAGCUGGCAGCCUGUGUGCGGCGCCCGCCCCGUUAGUGGGGAGCGCCCCGGAACUGGAGAGAAGGAGCCUCCAUAGGCCUUGGGGACCAGAGCCGCCCUGUAAGUGGGGGCCAGUGCUCUGGAGUCCCGGGCACUUUGAAGUCCAGGCAGCGGCUUGAGCCCCCUGUAAGCAGGGGUGCAGCCUCUUGGCCGCUGCUUUGCGUGCCCAGCUUCAUUUGCCCAGAGGGCCCGGCUCCCAGCACGGCGUGGGACUGCGCCGGACGUCGCCAUGAACUGUGGGACGGCGAGGCAAGAGAGAGCUUGGAGCUGAAGAGGGACACCAGGGGCCCUCUGGGCAAAGGGCUUUUCCAGGCCAGGGCACCUUCAGGGUGCCGCGGCCGGCUUUGCGCUGGGCGACCUCCCUGUGCGCAGGGCUGGGUCUUUGCUGCGGUUGGCCUUUUGCCCUUGUGCUCCUUUGGCUGCCCGGAGAGAGGGGCAACCCUGUAAAGGAGGGUGAGUGCCCCUGUCUCCGCACCGGAGGGGGGAAACGGAGCUCUCCCGGCCCCCAGCCCAGCUACCCUGUAAGCAGGGCAGGGCUUUUCCCCAGCCCCGGCAGCUUUCUGCCUGCUGCCGGCCCCUGGCCAGUGUGACCCCCUGUACUCGGGGCGUGUCACAGCCCGUGUCCCCGUGCCAGGCCUGAAGCGCUUCAGCGCGUCGAGGCCCCUUGUGGCCUCCUCUCAGUGCACGGGCAGGUCUGAUGCUUUCCUCUCCCGCUCAGCAUUAGGAAUGGCUCCCUAGAGUAGGUUGGCUGCACAGAGCUUGCUCCCUCUUCUGGGACUGUCUCCCCCUCUCCUGUCUUCCCCUUAGCCGGUGUGAGUGAGGAAGUGUGUUUGUGCUUUCGCCCCCCUUCUUUAGAAACAGAGCAGUGUAGCUCAGACUUCCCAGGAGGGAAAGAGGAGCUCUGUGCAGCCACAGGCGGGUGCCCAAAAUGCACGGGUGGAGAAAGCGUCCGGCCUUGCCCCUGCUUUCUGAGGACGGCGCGAAGCCGCUUAGCGGCAGCGUGGGCACCACGACCCGCCUGUAGCCAGGGCCUGGGCGUGCGCCCACGCUGCCGGUGGUGCUGGUGAACUGCCAGCGUGCGGGCCCCGUACUCGGGGCACGUGUCAGGACCUUGGCGGCACCCUUUGUCCCCAGGAGCAGCCCCGCCCAGGUCCCUGUAAGCAGGGCUGGGGAGGCUCCUUUAGCCAGGCGACAGGAACGAGCGCUCCCGGGCCCUUGCCAGGGGGCAGCUUGCAGAAGGGCCGUGCCGCAGGGCACGGUCCCGCCUUUGGCACUGCCUCGGGCUGGCGCCACAUGCCUGGCGGCCUUGUAGAGGAGGCUGCCGAGGCUCUGCAGACGGCUGUGCUGCCGUGCUGCGCUGCGGCCGGGCUCCGGCCUGUCCCUAAGUGGGGUGCAGGCCGGAGCCUGUGCUCCGCAGUGCUUGUUGGGGGGUGCCGGGCAGCAGGGGGCGGCCCCGUAAGUGGGGUUCUGUGCGUCCCCUGGCCUCGGCGGGCGGUUGGAGGGACCCCCUGUAAUCAGGCGGGUGUCCCUGGCCCCGGUCUUUCAGAGGCAUGGGGCCAGGAGUCAUGGGGCCGGGCGUGUGCCCUCCCUGUCCUCGGGGCUGGGCUCGCGGCCCCUCGGGCCCCUCGGCUUUAGGCCGUGAGCUCGACUGCCUGACUGUAGAGUCAGGUUCCUGUUGCCUUGGGGGAAGGCCGAGCUCCGUGGCUCCCUGGGUGUGGACCGGCCUGUAAGCAGGCUGCGGGUCUGGGAGCCUUUGUGCUCCCUUCAGCUGGCAGCCUGUGUGCGGCGCCCGCCCCGUUAGUGGGGAGCGCCCCGGAACUGGAGAGAAGGAGCCUCCAUAGGCCUUGGGGACCAGAGCCGCCCUGUAAGUGGGGGCCAGUGCUCUGGAGUCCCGGGCACUUUGAAGUCCAGGCAGCGGCUUGAGCCCCCUGUAAGCAGGGGUGCAGCCUCUUGGCCGCUGCUUUGCGUGCCCAGCUUCAUUUGCCCAGAGGGCCCGGCUCCCAGCACGGCGUGGGACUGCGCCGGACGUCGCCAUGAACUGUGGGACGGCGAGGCAAGAGAGAGCUUGGAGCUGAAGAGGGACACCAGGGGCCCUCUGGGCAAAGGGCUUUUCCAGGCCAGGGCACCUUCAGGGUGCCGCGGCCGGCUUUGCGCUGGGCGACCUCCCUGUGCGCAGGGCUGGGUCUUUGCUGCGGUUGGCCUUUUGCCCUUGUGCUCCUUUGGCUGCCCGGAGAGAGGGGCAACCCUGUAAAGGAGGGUGAGUGCCCCUGUCUCCGCACCGGAGGGGGGAAACGGAGCUCUCCCGGCCCCCAGCCCAGCUACCCUGUAAGCAGGGCAGGGCUUUUCCCCAGCCCCGGCAGCUUUCUGCCUGCUGCCGGCCCCUGGCCAGUGUGACCCCCUGUACUCGGGGCGUGUCACAGCCCGUGUCCCCGUGCCAGGCCUGAAGCGCUUCAGCGCGUCGAGGCCCCUUGUGGCCUCCUCUCAGUGCACGGGCAGGUCUGAUGCUUUCCUCUCCCGCUCAGCAUUAGGAAUGGCUCCCUAGAGUAGGUUGGCUGCACAGAGCUUGCUCCCUCUUCUGGGACUGUCUGUCUCCCCCUCCCCUGUCUGUCUCCCCCUCCCCUGUCUUCCCCUUAGCCAGUGUGAGUGAGGAAGUGUGUUUGUGCUUUAGCCCCCCGCUUUAGAAACAGAGCAGUGUAGCUCAGACUUCCCAGGAGGGAAAGAGGAGCUCUGUGCAGCCACAGGCGGGUGCCCAAAAUGCACGGGUGGAGAAAGCGUCCGGCCU
Haemorhous mexicanus (house finch) is the source of this 7102-nucleotide long non-coding RNA. RefSeq lists it as uncharacterized. The transcript is spliced from 5 exons. Lineage: Eukaryota; Metazoa; Chordata; Aves; Passeriformes; Fringillidae. The record is from RefSeq and is a predicted model, not a curated record.